AGGAUUAGGCAACUGUGGUGGCUGCAUUCUCCAAAAAGUUGUGGUAGUCAACAUAAUGGACUAGGAAGCAAUCACAACUCGAUAUGGUGCAUCAGGCAGAGACUCAGUUUAACUGAGUAAUCACUUCAAACCGGGCAGCAAAGCAAAUCUACAGUCCACGCACAGACUAAAUAAUCAAACGUUGGUGCAAGUCAUGUUGGAGGUUACAUCGUGUCAUUUUGUGAGUGGUCGAAAGAACCCCACAUCUUUCCCCGGCCUCCAGCUGGCUGAGGCAUGGAGGGAGAGGGGAGGGAUCUAAACCCGAUCUGCUGCCUCACUGCUCCGACACCGGAGACGUGUGGAGAUGCUCCAUUCCAACCCCAGGGACAGGGAGGGCCGCUGUCGGGGCCUUGGCCUGAAGCUGUCAACCCCCACUCCUCAGUCCGGGCCUGGCAGUUAAGUGGGAAAAUCAGGGACCUCUCCAGUCGGUCGUGUCCCAGGUCAGGUAAUAAGGACGGCCCACCAAUGUUAGGCGGGAGGCCUUCAGGCCCCGAACCCGAGCAGGCUGCAAGAAGCUCGCCGAAGAUGAAGCCGUUACUCACAAUGUUUUCCGCCAUGACACCCCCCGGGAGCGGCUCCUCGGCCUUUUACCGAAAUUUGCCUUCCAACUCCUCCGCGUGUCACCACAAAACCCGUCCGAUGCUGCACAGCGCAAGAGUAGUGGGACUACACAGUAAUACUGCACUCCUCCACCCUCAGUUGCAACAAUCUCCCCCUUUACCAUCAGCAUCAAGCAAAAAGAUCAACACCUAGUUCAACGAAGAUUGCAGGAGGAUAAUCCAGGUGCAGCAUCAAGCAUCUCUAAAAAUAAGGUUUACAGCUUGAAAAAGUACCUUUGCCUGCAUUGUUACAACCAGAGGAAAUGACUUUCAAAACUGCUGUGUCAUUGUGUGUAGGAUGGAAAUUUUGGCGCUUAAUAUUCAAGCCUCAAAUACUGAAAAAAAUGCAUGCAAUUUCCUUGUGUGGCCACUCAGUGUCAGUACAAUGCUUUAUCAUUUCUGUAGACUAGAAAAUUUGUUUCAAACUCAAUGAGAUUCAUUGAUCGUUCUAUGUCGAGUUUUUGGUGCUUUUCCUUGUUUUGGCUACUUGUCUACCGACUGCAUACAAGUUGAUCUACUCGAAUGGUGUACUCUUUCACCUAUUAUGACCAGGUUAGAAAUAAUGAACUGGGUCUCAUCUUUUCAAUCUCCUCAAUUGAUCAUAAUUAAGGUAUAAGUUCUUCUUAGCAUGAGGCUAUAUCUUUCUCCAGUUUAAAAUGUAGUCAACUUUUCUAUUGUAUGUAAUAAUGAGACAAUUACAAGAUUGUAUUCCAUUAUGGAAAGAACAAGCUCACUACCACUAGAAGUAUAAUCAAAUUGUGAUGUCAAGUAUAAGGCCUUUAUGUAGUCACUAAUGCCCUCAUGCAUACACAGGGACAAAGUGAGAAGAGGAUAGUGUACAGCACAAAAGGAGAUAAAAGAAUAUACAGCUUAGUGUCCUUUGAGUGUCUUUGAGGCAUAAGGUUUUAACCUGAGACCAUGUUUGCUUAGUGAUUAUUGCAUUACUCAACAAGUUCUCAAAUUCUCAGUACU
Molecule: long non-coding RNA, 1610 nt
Organism: Stegostoma tigrinum
Lineage: Eukaryota; Metazoa; Chordata; Chondrichthyes; Orectolobiformes; Stegostomatidae
Exons: 3
Source: RefSeq, a predicted model, not a curated record